RNAcentral lists this ribosomal RNA (1438 nucleotides) under Ketobacter sp. RNAcentral describes it as "partial 23S ribosomal RNA". It matches the Rfam family "Bacterial large subunit ribosomal RNA", at positions 993 to 2534 of the family's 2925-position model. The record is from RNAcentral. Lineage: Bacteria; Pseudomonadati; Pseudomonadota; Gammaproteobacteria; Pseudomonadales; Ketobacteraceae.
GGGUGCUAAGGUCCAUGGUCGAGAGGGAAAGAGCCCAGACCACCAGAUACGGCGCCACAAUUAUGAUUAAGUGUGAAAGGAUGUGGAAAUUCCUUAACAGCCGGGAGGAUGGCUUAGAAGCAGCCAUCCUUUAAAGAUAGCGUAACAGCUCACCGGUCUAAUAGAGUUUCUGCGCCGAAGAUGUAACGGGGCUAAAAUCAUAUACCGAAUCUGUGGGUUUAUAAAGUUUUCGAACUUUAUAAGCGGUAGCGGAACGUUCUGUAAGCCUGUGAAGGGAUACCCGUGAGGGAUCCUGGAGGUAUCAGAAGUGCGAAUGCUGACAUAAGUAACGAUAAAAGAAGUGAAAAACUUCUUCGCCGAAAAUCCAAGGGUUUCUGCGCAAGGUUAAUCCGCGCAGAGUUAGUCGGCACCUAAGACGAGGGCGAGAGCCGUAGUCGAUGGAAAUAAGGUUAAUAUUCCUUAACCAGAUGGUAGUGACGGAUCUUAUAAGUUGUGAGUUCUUAAUGGAUUGAGCUUGCCGCGAAAAGGUUCCAAGAAAUAGCUCCAUCAUUAGACCGUACCCUAAACCGACACAGGUGGAUUAAUAGAGUAUAUUUAGGCGCUUGAGAGAAUGAUGUUGAAGGAACUCGGCAAAAUGCUUCUGUAACUUCGGAAUAAAGAAGACCUUUUUUUGGGCAACCAUUUAAAGGUGGCACAAGCCAGGGAGAAGCGACUGUUUAUCAAAAACACAGGGCUCUGCUAACACGUAAGUGGAUGUAUAGGGUCUGACGCCUGCCCGGUGCUGGAAGGUUAAUGCGGUUGGUGCAAGCUAACUUCUGAAGCCCCAGUAAACGGCGGCCGUAACUAUAACGGUCCUAAGGUAGCGAAAUUCCUUGUCGGGUAAGUUCCGACCUGCAUGAAUGGCGUAACGAUUUCUCCGCUGUCUCCAACAUCAACUCAGUGAAAUUGAAUUCUCCGUGAAGAUGCGGAGUUCGCGUAGUUAGACGGAAAGACCCCGUGCACCUUUACUGCAACUUUACAUUGGUAUUAGGAAAAACAUAUUUAGUAUAGGAGGGAGACAUUGAAGCAAAGGCGUCAGCUUUUGUGGAGUCACCAGUGAAAUACCUCUUUUGUUUUUCUUGGUAUCUAACUGAUUGCCGUUAUCCGGCAUCAAGACAUUGUAUGGUGGGUAGUUUGACUGGGGCGGUCGCCUCCCAAAUAGUAACGGAGGCGUGCGAAGGUAGGCUCAGAACGGUCAGAAAUCGUUCGUAGAGUGCAAUGGCAUAAGCCUGCCUGACUGUGAGACUGACAAGUCGAGCAGAGACGAAAGUCGGUCAUAGUGAUCCGGUGGUUCUGAGUGGAAGGGCCAUCGCUCAACGGAUAAAAGGUACGCCGGGGAUAACAGGCUGAUACUGCCCAAGAGCUCAUAUCGACGGCAGUGUUUGGCACCUCGAUGUCG